UGUUUCGGCUAGGGGGCCAUCCCGGCUUACCAACCCGAUGCAAACUGCGAAUACCGGAGAAUGUUAUCACGGGAGACACACGGCGGGUGCUAACGUCCGUCGUGAAGAGGGAAACAACCCAGACCGCCAGCUAAGGUCCCAAAGUCAUGGUUAAGUGGGAAACGAUGUGGGAAGGCCCAGACAGCCAGGAUGUUGGCUUAGAAGCAGCCAUCAUUUAAAGAAAGCGUAAUAGCUCACUGGUCGAGUCGGCCUGCGCGGAAGAUGUAACGGGGCUAAACCAUGCACCGAAGCUGCGGCAGCGAACGUAUCACUUAAAGCGAUUCAGCGGGUUACGAUUGACGGAGCGAAGCGACGUCAAAGCGUAUACAAAGUCGAGUCGGUUUAAGGAUACGUUCGUUGGGUAGGGGAGCGUUCUG
This 416-nucleotide ribosomal RNA is filed under the name Salmonella enterica subsp. enterica serovar Newport. Its description in RNAcentral is "partial 23S ribosomal RNA". It matches the Rfam family "Bacterial large subunit ribosomal RNA", at positions 911 to 1243 of the family's 2925-position model. Lineage: Bacteria; Pseudomonadati; Pseudomonadota; Gammaproteobacteria; Enterobacterales; Enterobacteriaceae. The record is from RNAcentral.